GAUGAACGCUGGCGGCGUGCCUAAUACAUGCAAGUCGAGCGAACGGACGAGAAGCUUGCUUUUCUGAUGUUAGCGGCGGACGGGUGAGUAACACGUGGAUAACCUACCUAUAAGACUGGGAUAACUUCGGGAAACCGGAGCUAAUACCGGAUAAUAUUUUGAACCGCAUGGUUCAAAAGUGAAAGACGGUCUUGCUGUCACUUAUAGAUGGAUCCGCGCUGCAUUAGCUAGUUGGUAAGGUAACGGCUUACCAAGGCAACGAUGCAUAGCCGACCUGAGAGGGUGAUCGGCCACACUGGAACUGAGACACGGUCCAGACUCCUACGGGAGGCAGCAGUAGGGAAUCUUCCGCAAUGGGCGAAAGCCUGACGGAGCAACGCCGCGUGAGUGAUGAAGGUCUUCGGAUCGUGAAACUCUGUUAUUAGGGAAGAACAUAUGCGUAAGUAACUGUGCACAUCUUGACGGUACCUAAUCAGAAAGCCACGGCUAACUACGU
This 496-nucleotide ribosomal RNA is filed under the name uncultured bacterium. RNAcentral describes it as "partial 16S ribosomal RNA". It matches the Rfam family "Bacterial small subunit ribosomal RNA", at positions 28 to 506 of the family's 1533-position model. The record is from RNAcentral.